RNAcentral lists this ribosomal RNA (633 nucleotides) under uncultured Methanosaeta sp. RNAcentral's name for it is "bacterial SSU rRNA". It matches the Rfam family "Archaeal small subunit ribosomal RNA", at positions 83 to 720 of the family's 1478-position model. Lineage: Archaea; Methanobacteriati; Methanobacteriota; Methanomicrobia; Methanotrichales; Methanotrichaceae. The record is from RNAcentral.
CGGCUCAGUAACACGUGGACAACCUACCCUUAGGACAGGUAUAAACCCGGGAAACUGGGUAUAAUCCCUGAUAGUCCUCGACUGCUGGAAUGCAUCGAGGCCGAAAGCUCCGGCGCCUAAGGAUGGGUCUGCGGCCUAUCAGGUAGUAGUGGGUCUAAAGUACCUACUAGCCUACGACGGGUACGGGUUGUGAGAGCAAGAGCCCGGAGAUGGAUUCUGAGACACGAAUCCAGGCCCUACGGGGUGCAGCAGGCGCGAAAACUUUACAAUGCCGGCAACGGCGAUAAGGGGACCUCGAGUGCCAGGUUACAAAUCUGGCUGUCGUGAUGCCUAAAAAGCAUUGCAUAGCAAGGGCCGGGCAAGACCGGUGCCAGCCGCCGCGGUAACACCGGCGGCUCGAGUGGUAACCGUUAUUAUUGGGUCUAAAGGGUCUGUAGCCGGCCGGAUAAGUCUCUUGGGAAAUCCAGCAGCUCAACUGUUGGGCUUCCAGGAGAUACUGUCUGGCUCGAGGCCGGGAGAGGUGAGAGGUACUUCAGGGGUAGGGGUGAAAUCUUGUAAUCCUUGAAGGACCACCAGUGGCGAAGGCGUCUCACCAGAACGGACCUGACGGCAAGGGACGAAAGCUAGGGGCAC